RNAcentral lists this long non-coding RNA (778 nucleotides) under Bos indicus x Bos taurus (hybrid cattle). Its description in RNAcentral is "lncRNA (ENSBIXG00005006156.1)". The record is from RNAcentral. Lineage: Eukaryota; Metazoa; Chordata; Mammalia; Artiodactyla; Bovidae.
UAUAAAGACUGUAAUUAUUCUUGUUUGAAUAAUACCCUAUAAUAUGUGAAAAUUAUUUGACAGGUGGCUGUUUGAUAACAUUAAAAGAAAAAUAAUUAAAAAAUAAAAUUUUAAGGAAAGUCAGAAUCUGCCUUGCUCAACAUGAUUUUUAUGCUAAGUAAAGUCAGCCUAUAAGUUAAGUACAAGAAAUCUGCUAUAAUUAUUUUCUCAUGGAAUUAGUAAAGCUUGCUUAAAUUAGAGAUGAUAUAUAGGUAUGCCCCUGCUUUUUGAAAGACCUACACUAGUAUCUGUUUUUGCUAACUGAAAGAAAUCAAAGACAUGGGAAGGAGAUUGUUGCUUCCACGAAAAAAGGCAAAAAGCAAAAAUCUAGUUUAGCGUUUACUUGGUAGCCAGCGGUUACAGAAGCAGAGGGCACCCGGAACAGUGAGCGUGGCACCUCCAAACUCCUUCCCCGAGAACCACGGUCAGCAUCUCAGCGUCCAGCCCCCAUAGCUUUGAACCAUAUCUGUGAGCAUUUGUGUUUUAACUCUGUUUAUUUUGUGCAUCCGGUAGCAAGAUGUGACCUGAGGUUGGUUUCUUCUGCUACAUCAGUGUAUAGAGAAGCUGAACAUUUCAACCCCUUGCCGCAGUGACAGGUGACGAGUCUGAUUGUUUGCUGAUGUUGAUUUGGAAUGUUGAUGCUUCAGGAAAAAAGAACUCCAUCGAACAGACAAUCUGCACAGCUCACGAACUACAUAAAGAGCAUUUGCUAUAAAUAAAGUGUCAACCGGGCGCUGCA